ACCACCGCCGCGUGCGUUGCCGUUGCUUGAAGAGCCGGCUGGUGGGCUCUGCCCCUGCUACCAGCAUAGGAUGGAGAACGAUUCUACCUGCAUAAACUUGGAUGUUAUGCUAAAUUGAUUGACUUUGAUACUUGCUACAUUAUGAACAAUGAUUAUUGUAGCUAAUAAGAUGUUUGUUUCAUUUUUUCAGCAUAGGAUGGAGAAUGAUUCUACCACAUGGGCAUGAAAUGAAAAAUAAUCGCUGUUGCAAUCUCUUCCUCUUUUGUUCGAAUUUAGGAGGGCUUUUCGAUAAUUAUGUUUGAUAUCUUUGUCUUACCAGUGUUGUUUGAUUUAUAAUUUUAGGCCAUGGUCUUCUUAUCAAUAUGAGUGCUAUAAAUAAUAUAUUGGGAUGGUUGUCGCUCUAAAUUUCGCCAUGGAAUGUACAAAGCCUCACGUGAGCUUCUGCUCUUCUUAGUCAAUUAUUCAAUUUUCAGCUGGUCCUGCAAAGGGAGACAACCUCCUCUGUAUCUGCUCUCUCGGUUGAUGGUAAUCUACUCCGCUCUAUGUGUAGGCUGUUGCCAGGAGUUAGCCCCUAC
Molecule: long non-coding RNA, 575 nt
Organism: Lolium rigidum
Lineage: Eukaryota; Viridiplantae; Streptophyta; Magnoliopsida; Poales; Poaceae
Exons: 3
Source: RefSeq, a predicted model, not a curated record